CUACAUUUGGCCUUACUCUUUUGUUUUUAUGAAGUAUUGAGUGAAGGAGUGGCAGAAUAACGACGCAAUUGAAUACUGGUCGGACAAAUUGUUAUUGAAUCGACGGAUUGAAUGUGGGCGCUACGCCUCUCUGUGCCGAAAGCCGGCACCGAAGGGCAAUUCAUUCUUCUCAAUAUUUUCGUUGCAUUAAUCAAACUGCCUUCACAACUUCCCCUCUAAUCGCUCCCUUCACUUCCUCAGUGAUUUAAAAAGAGGUAGUGCAUGAAUUUCCGGCAAGGGACAAAAAGCAUGAGAUCCGGUUAGCAGGUGAAGAAAGUGACUCCAAAACAAUCUUUUUCAGUUUAGUGUUAUUACUAUAAUGCUGCCUUCCACAAUCCCACCCCAUAAAGAGGAAGACAAUGCCAACAAAAAUUAGUCUUGGAAUUGAUGCAUGUAUGUUUCUUUUCUUGUCCCUUUGUUUGUGUGUGUGUGUGUGAGAGAGAGAGAGAAGAGAUGAGAAAGGGUUCUGACUUCUGAGAAGUGAGUACUUUCAUCAUCAAAUCCAUUGCUGUCAAGUUGAACUGGAAGAGACAAAAGCUUCACAGAGUGCAAAAAAAUGAAAAAUUGAAUUUGCUUUUGGCAUUAAUGCCAAAUCCAGGAAUCCAACACCCAUUUUUAUUACUGUCCCAACUCCACUUUCAUCAUUUUUAUUCCACUGGAAUAAGCAGUUAUUGUCAAAACCACCUAUGUAUGGAGUAUUUUUUUUAAAGACAGCUACUUGUAGUAAAAUUUAAAAUGUGGAGUAAUAAAGUAAUCCAGAAAUA
Long non-coding RNA from Salvia splendens (bonfire salvia), 803 nucleotides. RefSeq lists it as uncharacterized. The transcript has 2 exons. The record is from RefSeq and is a predicted model, not a curated record. NCBI's taxonomy places the organism in Eukaryota, Viridiplantae, Streptophyta, Magnoliopsida, Lamiales, Lamiaceae.